RNAcentral lists this ribosomal RNA (376 nucleotides) under uncultured organism. RNAcentral's name for it is "partial 16S ribosomal RNA". It matches the Rfam family "Bacterial small subunit ribosomal RNA", at positions 527 to 897 of the family's 1533-position model. The record is from RNAcentral.
GUAGGUGGCAAGCGUUGUCCGGGAAUUAUUGGGGCGUAAAGCGCGCGCAGGCGGUUCUUUAGGUCUGAUGUGAAAGCCCACGGGCUCAACCGUGGAGGGUCAUUGGAAACUGGAGAACUUGAGUACAGAAGAGGAAAGCGGAAUUCCACGUGUAGCGGUGAAAUGCGUAGAGAUGUGGAGGAACACCAGUGGCGAAGGCGGCUUUCUGGUCUGUAACUGACGCUGAGGCGCGAAAGCGUGGGGAGCAAACAGGAUUAGAUACCCUGGUAGUCCACGCCGUAAACGAUGAGUGCUAAGUGUUAGGGGGUUUCCGCCCCUUAGUGCUGCAGCUAACGCAUUAAGCACUCCGCCUGGGGAGUACGGCCGCAAAGGCUGA